ACUGCUCAGUAACACGUGGAUAACCUGCCCUUGGGACUGGUAUAACCCCGGGAAACUGGGGAUAAUUCCGGAUACCGCAUAUAUGCUGGAAUGCUUUAUGCGUCAAAUGGAUUCGUCCGCCCAAGGAUGGGUCUGCGGCCUAUCAGGUAGUAGUGGGUGUAAUGUACCUACUAGCCUACAACGGGUACGGGUUGUGAGAGCAAGAGCCCGGAGAUGGAUUCUGAGACAUGAAUCCAGGCCCUACGGGGCGCAGCAGGCGCGAAAACUUUACAAUGCGGGAAACCGUGAUAAGGGGACACCGAGUGCUAGCAUCAUAUGCUGGCUGUCCAGGUGUGUAAAAUACACCUGUUAGCAAGGGCCGGGCAAGACCGGUGCCAGCCGCCGCGGUAACACCGGCGGCCCGAGUGGUGAUCGUGAUUAUUGGGUCUAAAGGGUCCGUAGCCGGUUUGGUCAGUCCUCCGGGAAAUCUGAUAGCUUAACUAUUAGGCUUUCGGGGGAUACUGCCAGGCUUGGAACCGGGAGAGGUAAGAGGUACUACAGGGGUAGGAGUGAAAUCUUGUAAUCCCUGUGGGACCACCUGUGGCGAAGGCGUCUUACCAGAACGGGUUCGACGGUGAGGGACGAAAGCUGGGGGCACGAACCGGAUUAGAUACCCGGGUAGUCCCAGCCGUAAACGAUGCUCGCUAGGUGUCAGGCAUGGCGCGACCGUGUCUGGUGCCGCAGGGAAGCCGUGAAGCGAGCCACCUGGGAAGUACGGCCGCAAGGCUGAAACUUAAAGGAAUUGGCGGGGGAGCAC
This 796-nucleotide ribosomal RNA is filed under the name uncultured archaeon. RNAcentral describes it as "bacterial SSU rRNA". It matches the Rfam family "Archaeal small subunit ribosomal RNA", at positions 85 to 879 of the family's 1478-position model. The record is from RNAcentral.